UCACCGAGGACAGACUAUUGAUGUCCGUUACAGCAAACAUGUCGGAACCGAGAGUAAAACGAAUAAAAAACGUGCCUUCCCCUCUGUAAAACUUAUAUAUCUUCUGCUGGGAGUCUAGCGAGGGCAAAACUUCCCGACUGUGGUGGAGGAAAGUCUGUGUGGGGUUUCCACUUUGCUUCUGGAGGUCUCUUACAGACUGAAGCGCUGGCCAGAGUCUUUGAGCAGAGUGAUCUGACUCUUCCCAGAGUGUCUGUGUACUUUCAGCAGGAGUCAGUGAAGGAGCUCGAGCGGAGGAAAAUACUGCAGGAAGAACAUCCAGCUAACUCACCCGUCUAACCAGUUAACCAGCACAAGACUUGUCCCAAGUGCCCUCUAUUUCUUCUUAAAAGAAAUAGCGCCUAGAUAUGGAACAAAGAAGAGGCCAGGCACUGGUGAGGUGUGUGCCGUCCUCCCAGCUCUGGAGGUCAUGCUUACCCAGUGGAAGGAGGAGAUGAGCGUCAUGCUGGAGCUGCGUAGUCAAGAGUCAGUUCAUUCAGCCCCUCGUCCCAAAGGUCAAACUCGUCGGUGACCUCUUGACCAGCGCUCGCAGAGUGGGCUGCAGCGGUGACCGCACGGGUGGCUUUGGCGGAGUACCUCAUCGACCGGCUGCAAGAGACCGCUUAGACUUCCUCUUUGUUAAUCAUUUAGGAACCAUGGUCGCACUGUAAAAAGUGAUUAUUCAAAGUAGUAAAGUAAAAAAACAAACUACAAGAAUAGCCUAUUUCAUCUUAAUAUUUCACCUUAUUUCAUUUCAACUUAAUAAUUUAGUGUAUAAUUCAAUGUUACUUGCCAUUUCUUUGUGAUUAUUUGUGAAACUGACUAGCCUAAUAAUGUUUCAAAGUAAACCCAACACCUGAUUUUCUUUUGUGUGUGUCUUUGGCUCUUAAUAAGAUUAUAUAUUACACCUGUCUGAGACAGAUUACAUAUUCGUCCAAAAACUAAAGUGCAUAAAUGCACUCACCAUAAUGCCAGUUUUGUAUGUCUCUCCAGUUGGAGGUAUUGUAAUGUCAUUCCAGUAAAAUCAGUGUAUUCUCUCUCUCUUUCUCAUUUUAUUUGAUCAUUUUUAUUAUUUUGUAGUGCUUCACAAAUAUAUAUGGAACACUGCAUUGCUCUGUUUAUCCUGUGUGUGAGAAGUUUAUUUGGAUUUAUUUUUUUUCUUUUUUAAGUAGUCUUUGUUUGGUAAGCAUUAUUUCAAGUGAAAAUGUCAUCUGUAUUUUUUGAAAAAAUUAAAUAUUUUCGUUUAUUUUAGAAUAUUUUACCCUGUGAAUGUUGUCCUGCAC
Molecule: long non-coding RNA, 1319 nt
Organism: Carassius gibelio (silver crucian carp)
Lineage: Eukaryota; Metazoa; Chordata; Actinopteri; Cypriniformes; Cyprinidae
Exons: 3
Source: RefSeq, a predicted model, not a curated record